GACGAACGCUGGCGGCGUGCUUAACACAUGCAAGUCGAACGGAAAGGCCCUGCUUGCAGGGUACUCGAGUGGCGAACGGGUGAGUAACACGUGGGUGAUCUGCCCUGCACUUCGGGAUAAGCCUGGGAAACUGGGUCUAAUACCGGAUAGGAGCCAUUUUUAGUGUGAUGGUUGGAAAGUUUUUUCGGUGUAGGAUGAGCUCGCGGCCUAUCAGCUUGUUGGUGGGGUAAUGGCCUACCAAGGCGGCGACGGGUAGCCGGCCUGAGAGGGUGGACGGCCACAUUGGGACUGAGAUACGGCCCAGACUCCUACGAGAGGCAGCAGUGGGGAAUAUUGCACAAUGGGCGCGAGCCUGAUGCAGCGACGCCGCGUGGGGGAUGACGGCCUUCGGGUUGUAAACUCCUUUCGCUAGGGACGAAGCUUUUUGUGACGGUACCUAGAUAAGAAGCACCGGCUAACUACGUG
RNAcentral lists this ribosomal RNA (465 nucleotides) under uncultured bacterium. Its description in RNAcentral is "partial 16S ribosomal RNA". It matches the Rfam family "Bacterial small subunit ribosomal RNA", at positions 28 to 507 of the family's 1533-position model. The record is from RNAcentral.